This 253-nucleotide ribosomal RNA is filed under the name uncultured bacterium. RNAcentral's name for it is "partial 16S ribosomal RNA". It matches the Rfam family "Bacterial small subunit ribosomal RNA", at positions 524 to 776 of the family's 1533-position model. The record is from RNAcentral.
UACGAAGGGGGCUAGCGUUGCUCGGAAUCACUGGGCGUAAAGCGCACGUAGGCGGCUUUUUCAGUCAGGGGUGAAAUCCUGGAGCUCAACUCCAGAACUGCCUUUGAUACUGAGAAGCUUGAGUCCGGGAGAGGUGAGUGGAACUGCGAGUGUAGAGGUGAAAUUCGUAGAUAUUCGCAAGAACACCAGUGGCGAAGGCGGCUCACUGGCCCGGUACUGACGCUGAGGUGCGAAAGCGUGGGGAGCAAACAGG